This 24-nucleotide non-coding RNA is filed under the name Arabidopsis thaliana (thale cress). Lineage: Eukaryota; Viridiplantae; Streptophyta; Magnoliopsida; Brassicales; Brassicaceae. The record is from RNAcentral.
UGCUCAAAUCAAAGCCUUCCAGAG